UUGGAUCCAUUUUAUUUUUCUGUUGAUUGUGCUUGGUGAUUUGUUGCUGAUUAAUUGCUAGAAUGAGAUAACCCACCCCCAACCUCUCUUCCAUGUCUGUCUCAAGGUUCCUCAACCAUUGUUAAUGGAUUGAAUCACCUAAUUGCUGUCGGAGAUUACGGGAUUUCAUGGUGAACGUUUGUUCCCUUGCUCUCGUCUUCUUCCCUUCUUUUGUCAUGCUGGCCACCGUUGCUAG
Molecule: long non-coding RNA, 235 nt
Filed under: Elaeis guineensis (African oil palm)
Lineage: Eukaryota; Viridiplantae; Streptophyta; Magnoliopsida; Arecales; Arecaceae
Description: long non-coding RNA (EGUI_LNC001743)
Source: RNAcentral